GCCUGGCUGGCUCAGUCAGUACAGCAUGUGACUCUGGAUCAUGGGGUUGUGGGUUCAAGCCCUACACUGGGUG
RNAcentral lists this transfer RNA (73 nucleotides) under Felis catus (domestic cat). It matches the Rfam family "tRNA". Rfam says of the family: Transfer RNA (tRNA) molecules are approximately 80 nucleotides in length. Their secondary structure includes four short double-helical elements and three loops (D, anti-codon, and T loops). Further hydrogen bonds mediate the characteristic L-shaped molecular structure. tRNAs have two regions of fundamental functional importance: the anti-codon, which is responsible for specific mRNA codon recognition, and the 3' end, to which the tRNAs corresponding amino acid is attached (by aminoacyl-tRNA synthetases). tRNAs cope with the degeneracy of the genetic code in two manners: having more than one tRNA (with a specific anti-codon) for a particular amino acid; and 'wobble' base-pairing, i.e. permitting non-standard base-pairing at the 3rd anti-codon position. Lineage: Eukaryota; Metazoa; Chordata; Mammalia; Carnivora; Felidae. The record is from Rfam by way of RNAcentral.